This 29-nucleotide small RNA is filed under the name Bombyx mori (domestic silkworm). RNAcentral's name for it is "piRNA piR-bmo-2129239". Lineage: Eukaryota; Metazoa; Arthropoda; Insecta; Lepidoptera; Bombycidae. The record is from RNAcentral.
UCAUCAGAAACUCUAGCACCUUUUCUUCC